GGCUCCACAGUAUAGUGGUUAGCAUGGCUGCUUUGCACGCAGAAGGUCCUGGGUUUGCGCCCCAGGUGGAGCCA
Molecule: non-coding RNA, 74 nt
Organism: Pteropus alecto (black flying fox)
Lineage: Eukaryota; Metazoa; Chordata; Mammalia; Chiroptera; Pteropodidae
Source: Rfam